This 318-nucleotide ribosomal RNA is filed under the name Triticum aestivum (bread wheat). Its description in RNAcentral is "partial small subunit ribosomal RNA". The record is from RNAcentral. Lineage: Eukaryota; Viridiplantae; Streptophyta; Magnoliopsida; Poales; Poaceae.
AUGCACCAAGCAAGCAGCCUGUUGCCAAAAGUCGGCUUUAAUAUCCGUCGGCAUACGCGUGGCGUGAAGCUGAUUACAGACGAAAGAAGACGAUACAACCGAAAAGGCGAAAACCCAGUUUGGAUGCUUAGGAAGUCCCACGCUCUAAGGCUGUGUUUGGCGGUACUGCUGUGUUUGGCAAGUAUCUCGGUAGUAAAUCUGGGCACCGUAGACAAUACACAACAGGCUGUCUUUGUCCCACCAUUGCGGCAAUCAACCACCGCUAGCGAGCAAACAUUGCCCGGCCAUCCGCACCUCCAACCAGCAUCAUCGGCGUAG